CCUUCUGGAGUCAGGAACAAAAAUGAGCAUUCCUUUCUCCAGCCCAGGAGAGAGCUGGCACCUAUCACCAACCUGCACAGGGAACGCCCUGGGAGCAGAGGCAAAGAAGAGGACGUCGAUCAGGUCAGAGGCUGGGCCACCACGGUACUGCUUGAGUGCAGUUAGAGCUCUGCCAAAGAAGGGGAAAUCCAGGUUACAGACACAGCAGGAAUUCUUUGGAGACUCCCAAGUGCCCAGAGACAAGCUCAAGGAGCUGUUCACUCCUUCUGCCAGGAUGGAAAAGGCCCUACACAGAACGCAGAGCGUUCCAGAGGUGAUGCAAUAGGACCAAAACACAGCCUGAAGAGGGAAAGGGAAGACCAGGACCAGC
Agelaius phoeniceus (red-winged blackbird) is the source of this 370-nucleotide non-coding RNA. The record is from RefSeq and is a predicted model, not a curated record. Lineage: Eukaryota; Metazoa; Chordata; Aves; Passeriformes; Icteridae.